GUGCAGGUUGCAAGUCUUGCUUCUUGAGAUAGGCAAGAUAGUGAUGUUCAAGAAGACAACUUUUGCUUCUUGAAAUAAGCAAAUUAGCAAUCUUUGCUACUUAAGAUAGGCAAGCUAGCAAUCAAGUUUUUGCAUCUUCUUGACUUGUGCAAGCUAGCUAUCUCCCACUUUGUCAUUGUCAAAAAGAAGGGAAGACCCAUUACAUCAAUUAUGACAAAGGUAAGUAUCAAUCUUAAUUGUGCAUCAUCAUAUUUUCAAAUUAGAAUAUGCAUAUUUUCAAAAACCUUAUAUUC
Molecule: long non-coding RNA, 293 nt
Filed under: Musa acuminata (dwarf banana)
Lineage: Eukaryota; Viridiplantae; Streptophyta; Magnoliopsida; Zingiberales; Musaceae
Description: long non-coding RNA (MACU_LNC008472)
Source: RNAcentral